This 495-nucleotide ribosomal RNA is filed under the name uncultured bacterium. RNAcentral describes it as "partial 16S ribosomal RNA". It matches the Rfam family "Bacterial small subunit ribosomal RNA", at positions 28 to 505 of the family's 1533-position model. The record is from RNAcentral.
GAUGAACGCUGGCGGCGUGCCUAAUACAUGCAAGUCGAGCGAACGGACGAGAAGCUUGCUUCUCUGAUGUUAGCGGCGGACGGGUGAGUAACACGUGGAUAACCUACCUAUAAGACUGGGAUAACUUCGGGAAACCGUAGCUAAUACCGGAUAAUAUUUUGAACCGCAUGGUUCAAAAGUGAAAGACGGUCUUGCUGUCACUUAUAGAUGGAUCCGCGCUGCAUUAGCUAGUUGGUAAGGUAACGGCUUACCAAGGCAACGAUGCAUAGCCGACCUGAGAGGGUGAUCGGCCACACUGGAACUGAGACACGGUCCAGACUCCUACGGGAGGCAGCAGUAGGGAAUCUUCCGCAAGGGGCGAAAGCCUGACGGAGCAACGCCGCGUGAGUGAUGAAGGUCUUCGGAUCGUAAAACUCUGUUAUUAGGGAAGAACAUAUGUGUAAGUAACUGUGCACAUCUUGACGGUACCUAAUCAGAAAGCCACGGCUAACUACG